Molecule: ribosomal RNA, 253 nt
Filed under: uncultured bacterium
Lineage: Bacteria
Description: partial 16S ribosomal RNA
Rfam family: Bacterial small subunit ribosomal RNA
Source: RNAcentral
UACGGAGGGGGCGAGCGUUAUUCGGAAUUAUUGGGCGUAAAGGGCGCGUAGGCGGCUGGGCAAGUCAAAGGGGAAAUCCCUCGGCUCAACUGAGGAACUGCCUUUGAAACUGCCUGGCUUGAGGCCGGGAGGGGGUAGCGGAAUUCCCAGUGUAGCGGUGAAAUGCGUAGAUAUUGGGAGGAACACCAGUGGCGAAGGCGGCUACCUGGACCGGUUCUGACGCUGAUGCGCGAAAGCGUGGGUAGCAAACAGG